This 494-nucleotide ribosomal RNA is filed under the name uncultured bacterium. RNAcentral describes it as "bacterial SSU rRNA". It matches the Rfam family "Bacterial small subunit ribosomal RNA", at positions 29 to 524 of the family's 1533-position model. The record is from RNAcentral.
AAUGGACGCUGGCGGCGUGCCUAACACAUGCAAGUCGAACGAGGCGGAAGGGGGCAACUCCUUCCAGUCGAGUGGCGGACGGGUGAGUAACACGUGGGUAACCUGCCCGGAAGUGGGGAAUACCUCGGGGAAACUCGAGCUAAUACCGCAUGACAUCUUCGGGACGAAAGUCCUGACGAUCAAAGCGGGGUCGCAAGAUCUCGCGCUACCGGAUGGGCCCGCGCCCGAUUAGCUAGUUGGUGAGGUAACGGCUCACCAAGGCUUCGAUCGGUAACCGGCCUGAGAGGGCGAUCGGUCACACCGGAACUGAGACACGGUCCGGACUCCUACGGGGGGCAGCAGUGGGGAAUCUUGGACAAUGGGCGCAAGCCUGAUCCAGCCAUGCCGCGUGAGUGAAGAAGGCCUUAGGGUUGUAAAGCUCUUUUGCCAGGGACGAUAAUGACGGUACCUGGAGAAUAAGCCCCGGCAAACUUCGUGCCAGCCGCCGCCGUAAU